RNAcentral lists this long non-coding RNA (208 nucleotides) under Nicotiana benthamiana. RNAcentral's name for it is "long non-coding RNA (NBEN_LNC009912)". Lineage: Eukaryota; Viridiplantae; Streptophyta; Magnoliopsida; Solanales; Solanaceae. The record is from RNAcentral.
UUUUCUCGUCUGAUUUUGGUUAUUCGAUUAGAGGACACCACCGGACGAGAUGCUUUUCGAUGUGUUGAGACGAUGAUGAUUUUUUUACUUCCUCAGUCUUAAGAUCCCCGCGUUAGUUCCUGGCCUGGCAAAGUGUGGGAGAUAAGGAUGAGAUGUUUCUCGCCUUUUGUUUGACGGUUUUGAGGGGAGAUGAGGGGAUAGAUUGCAG